Molecule: transfer RNA, 58 nt
Filed under: Neotoma lepida (desert woodrat)
Lineage: Eukaryota; Metazoa; Chordata; Mammalia; Rodentia; Cricetidae
Rfam family: tRNA
About the family: Transfer RNA (tRNA) molecules are approximately 80 nucleotides in length.
Source: Rfam by way of RNAcentral
UAGCUUAGUCGGUAGAGCAUGAGACUCUUAAUCUCAGGGUCAUGGGUUUGAGCCCCAU